GAAAAGAAACCAACAGGGAUUGCCUUAGUAGCGGCGAGUGAAGCGGCAAUAGCUCAAAUUUGUAAUCUGGCGUCUUCGACGUCCGAGUUGUAAUUUGAAGAAGGUAUCUUUGGUUUUGGCUCUUGUCUAUGUUCCUUGGAACAGGACGUCACAGAGGGUGAGAAUCCCGUGCGAUGAGAUGCCCAAUUCCAUGUAAAGUUCCUUCGACGAGUCGAGUUGUUUGGGAAUGCAGCUCUAAGUGGGUGGUAAAUUCCAUCUAAAGCUAAAUAUUGGCGAGAGACCGAUAGCGAACAAGUACUGUGAAGGAAAGAUGAAAAGAACUUUGAAAAGAGAGUGAAAAAGUACGUGAAAUUGUUGAAAGGGAAGGGCUUGAGGUCAGACUUGGUUUUACCAGGCCAGCAUCAGUUUGGAUGGCAGGAUAAUAGCUUAGGAAAGUGGCACUGCUUCGGUGGUGUGUUAUAGCCUUUGUUGAUACUGCCUGUCUAGACUGAGGACUGCGUCUUUUGACUAGGAUGCUGGCAUAAUGACCUUAAGCCGCCCGUCU
This 544-nucleotide ribosomal RNA is filed under the name Yamadazyma sp. RNAcentral describes it as "partial large subunit ribosomal RNA". It matches the Rfam family "Eukaryotic large subunit ribosomal RNA", at positions 56 to 654 of the family's 3401-position model. The record is from RNAcentral. Lineage: Eukaryota; Fungi; Ascomycota; Pichiomycetes; Serinales; Debaryomycetaceae.